RNAcentral lists this ribosomal RNA (391 nucleotides) under Chaetoceros sp. RNAcentral's name for it is "partial small subunit ribosomal RNA". It matches the Rfam family "Eukaryotic small subunit ribosomal RNA", at positions 582 to 975 of the family's 1831-position model. The record is from RNAcentral. Lineage: Eukaryota; Bacillariophyta; Thalassiosirophyceae; Chaetocerotales; Chaetocerotaceae.
AUUCCAGCUUCAGUAGCGUAUAUUAAAGUUGUUGCAGUUAAAAAGCUCGUAGUCGCAUUUCUGGCGAGAGGAAUUGGUCCGACAUUUAUUGUGGGUACUCGAUUCUCUCUCGCCAUCCUUGAGUGGUCCGUUCUGGCAUUUAGUUGUCGGAGCGUCAGCCGCUCAUCGUUUACUGUGAGAAAAUUAGAGUGUUCAAAGCAGGCUUAUGCCGUUGAAUAUAUUAGCAUGGAAUAAUAAGAUAGGACCUCGGUGCUAUUUUGUUGGUUUGCGCACAGAGGUAAUGAUGAACAGGGACAGUUGGGGGUAUUUGUAUUUCGUUGUCAGAGGUGAAAUUCUUAGAUUUACGAAAGACAAACUACUGCGAAAGCAUUUAUCAAGGAUGUUUUCAUUA